UUUAAAUCUGUGUCUCUAGCAAGAAACUAUGACUAAAGAAAGCCUCUGCUAAUGAAAUAAACAUGCUUUAAACAUGUAUUAAAGUAAAAAUUACAACUAAUUCCAAUUAUACAGAUUUCAGUGAUAGGAAAAAGAAGUAACUGCUUUGAAUACCUAGUUACGCAAUGCCGAAUGUAGGUAUAUUAAAACACUUACUUUACUAAUUACAGCCUGAAAAUCAAUACUAGAUAUCAAAAUGGGUGCUGAAUUCCCUCUGAAGACCACCACUCACUUCGAACUGGCAGAAAUUGUUUUUAUUUGCAUCGCAUUCACUCUGAUUCUCAUAGUUUUAACUCAAGCUAGCAGGAUUAUAUCAUCCGGCUUCAUAACGACGUAUUAAUUAAUGUCAUGCAAAAGUUUCCGACGCCCAGCUGGAGGAAUGGUGGAACUUAUUUGGAAUAUUUCUUAAUUCUUCUAGUCUGUGUCACCCUUUUGUUCAUAGCAUGUAACGACACUUGUAAGAAAUACUUUCACUUCAAUUGACAGUGUUGAAUUAAUAUUUAUUGAAUUCA
This is a long non-coding RNA of Colias croceus (clouded yellow), 551 nucleotides long. RefSeq lists it as uncharacterized. Lineage: Eukaryota; Metazoa; Arthropoda; Insecta; Lepidoptera; Pieridae. The transcript has 3 exons. The record is from RefSeq and is a predicted model, not a curated record.